Unclassified non-coding RNA from Monodelphis domestica (gray short-tailed opossum), 297 nucleotides. It matches the Rfam family "Metazoan signal recognition particle RNA". From Rfam's summary of the family: The signal recognition particle (SRP) is a universally conserved ribonucleoprotein. It is involved in the co-translational targeting of proteins to membranes. The eukaryotic SRP consists of a 300-nucleotide 7S RNA and six proteins: SRPs 72, 68, 54, 19, 14, and 9. The record is from Ensembl. Lineage: Eukaryota; Metazoa; Chordata; Mammalia; Didelphimorphia; Didelphidae.
ACUGGGCAUGGUGCCACUUGCCAGUAAUCCUUGCUCCUAGGGGAGGCUGAGGCUGGUGGAUUGUUGGAGCUCUGGAAGUCUAAGCUGCAGUAGGGCUACAGCUGAUCAUAGGGUCUUACAGUUUGGCACCCAAAAGAUCCCUGGAGUGGGGAGCUACCAGAUUGCUUAAAGAAGGGUGAACCAGCCCAGGUUGGAAAUGGAGCAGAUUAAAGCUUCUGUGCUGAUGAGCAGUGAGGGUCAGGCCAUAAAUGGCUGCUGCAUUUUUGGUCUGGGCAAGAUGGGGAAAGUCAGUCUUCU